GCCCCUGUAGCUCAGCGGUAGAGCACCACCAUGGUAAGGUGGGGGUCAUCGGUUCAAGUCCGAUCGGGGGCU
Spirochaeta africana DSM 8902 is the source of this 72-nucleotide transfer RNA. It matches the Rfam family "tRNA". Rfam says of the family: Transfer RNA (tRNA) molecules are approximately 80 nucleotides in length. Their secondary structure includes four short double-helical elements and three loops (D, anti-codon, and T loops). The record is from Rfam. Lineage: Bacteria; Pseudomonadati; Spirochaetota; Spirochaetia; Spirochaetales; Spirochaetaceae.